CGCACUCAAGUGAGGAAUGGGGAAGGAGGGUGGAGGAAGGAGCUUGUAAAUGAGCAGCUGGUUUGCAGCAAAACCGCACCUCACUCUGCACCUUUGGAUCCCUCUCAGCCUGAGGUUAGCACAGCCAAUGUCCUCACCAGCGUCUGCCAAAGCCCAUGGAGAAGGCCAGCAGGAGCAUAUCACUGUGACUUACAACCCUUCUCUAGUCUGCUACAAUGGAAUCUUAAACAAGAAAAUUUUAUAUUUUGACUUGCAUCAUUGAGAAAAACACUGCCAACCUGAUCGUGGUUCCUUUGAAGAGCAUGGAAGGAAGCAAUGAAAAAAGCCUCACUCCUGGUUGCACACCUGGGAUUCUGUACCUGACGGACACCAUCCAUCCUUUUAGAUGAUGCAUUGAGUCCUAACUAUUCCCUUCCCAAGAAAGUUCAAGCCAGGAGAUCAAUCUGCUUGGGAUGGAAAGAAUCACUGCAGCAGGUGCGAGAGAGGACUCAUGGAGCUUGCAGAUGAGCUAGCCCAGGUAGGACAUCUGAUGUUGGGACCCUCUUCAGAAGUGAAGCAUAUAUAAUCCCACAUGAAAUCUCUCAAGCCAUUCCAGAAGAAUGUUUUCUCAGAUAAAGGUUAUUUACCUAUUUAUAAUAAUUUAUAAUUUACAAAGCAUAUUCAUAUAUAUGAUCCCAUCUAACUCAUAAAAUUAUAUGAAAUGUAUACUAUCUCCAUUUUACAGAUGGGGAAAUUGAGCCUCAGAGUGAUAAAGUAACUUCCCCAAAGUCAUGUAGCUAGUAAAUGAAAGUGAUGAGACUCACACUAGGUUCUUCUAAGUUUUUAGAGUACUUCGUCCACGGCGCCAAGGUGUCUAGGGCAGAGACACCACAACCUCCUAAGGUAGGUUAUGCCAUUAAUGUUCCACUUGGGUGGGAAUACACACACACCCACACACACACUAUAAUUCACACUUCCUUAUAGUUAUAUUCCUCAUUCUUUGAACUUAAUCCAUGGUAAAGAAUUAUUUAUUAUGGUGGGGUAGAAGGAGACCCUUUGAGAUUUGAAGACACUGAUUAACCAUGUUAGUGUUUUUCCUCAGGCAAAAUAUUCAUGGGCUCUUUUACCAUAACUUGCUGUCCUUAUUUCCUCAUUAAAUUUCAAGUUUCCACAAAAUAAGAAAAGAAACAACUAAAGAAGAAAUUGUUGGAAGGCAUGGAGCAAAGUGUAAGAACAACUAAGUAAACAUGUACAUUUUGCAUUUUUAAAAAAUUCAGUGGCCAUAAUACCACUGGCCAACAGGCUGAUCAAAUAAUCCCUGAAACAAAGAGUUAUAUGUUACGGAGGGGAUUGAAUCAGAAUACAGAAAAGAGAGACUUGAGAGGUUAAGACAAAACAUCCUGGGAAAUACACCUAUUAAAAUAUGGUAACUAGCUGUUCUCCAUUUCUUUCAAGACAGAAUGGGAAAUGGAGGUAAACACAGCAAGAGUAUUAGUCGGUUAGACAACAGGAAUAUUUUGCUGAUUUUUGUUGUUGUUGUUUUGUUUUUGUUUUUGUUUUUGAGACAGUGUCUUGCUGCGACACCCA
This 1566-nucleotide long non-coding RNA is filed under the name Homo sapiens (human). Its description in RNAcentral is "HSALNT0367956". The record is from RNAcentral. Lineage: Eukaryota; Metazoa; Chordata; Mammalia; Primates; Hominidae.